CCAAUCGAGCCCGGAGAUAGCUGGUUCUCCCCGAAAUAGCUUUAGGGCUAGCCUCAAGGUGAGAGAUACGGAGGUAGAGCACUGAAUGUCCUAGGGGGUAUUGCCCCUACCGAAGACUAUCAAACUCCGAAUGCCGUCAUCUUAUACUUGGGAGUCAGACUGUGGGUGAUAAGAUUCAUAGUCGAAAGGGCAACAGCCCAGAUCGUCAGCUAAGG
Molecule: ribosomal RNA, 215 nt
Filed under: Clostridioides difficile
Lineage: Bacteria; Bacillati; Bacillota; Clostridia; Peptostreptococcales; Peptostreptococcaceae
Description: partial 23S ribosomal RNA
Rfam family: Bacterial large subunit ribosomal RNA
Source: RNAcentral